AAGACAUUUGCCCUGGGCAUUAGGGGGCAGCUUUUUUUGCCAACCCCUGGAAAAUGCCGCCCAAGGCAAAUGCCUUGUUUGCCUCGCGGCUAAAACGUCCCUGAUGCUUGCACUGUGUUUGCUUUUAACGUGUCUCUGGUGUCUCCAUAAGUGGGAUACCAGAGGACAAAAGGGCCAGGAAAGCGUAUGGUGCAUGUGUUUGGAGCCUGCUUGUGGGAUUGCGAGUGUGUAGAGUGUAGUGUGGUAUUGUGUAUAUAGGUUGAUUUAAUUUGUGUCAUUCCGGCAUCACUACGCGGUGCGCGAGGGAGCUGAACAUGAGGAUUAGUGCUCCCUCGCCGACUGCAGUCACCGGCCGCCCAGCAGCCCCACUGGACCCCAGGGAAAGUGAU
Non-coding RNA from Pelobates cultripes (western spadefoot toad), 389 nucleotides. Lineage: Eukaryota; Metazoa; Chordata; Amphibia; Anura; Pelobatidae. The record is from the annotation of a GenBank genome assembly.